UUAUAGUUCAUCUGGAAGACAUUGUUGGUAUAUAUUUCUUUUUAUCUUUUAAAAAAAUAGGUUUUAUUAUGGAAUCACUUUAUUUUUAACUGAGUUUCAUACACCUCUCAUCUUUAUGUUUUCAGAUAAUGGUGUCAACUACAGUUGCCUUUAGGUGAAAUGUUCUGUGGAUUUUUCCUUGAGAAGAGCAUGAUUCUCUUGAGGUUAAAAGAGAAGGCUAACAGAAAUAGCAGUGAUUCUUACCAGGAUUCAGGAAGCUACUGCAUAUAAAGCAUCCAACAGAUCAGUUGAUAGUAAGUUUCAUAAAUAAUGUCUUAAAGUAGUCUUAUUGCUGUGAUAAUGGUGAUGAUAUAAAGGUGUUGUGAAAAACAUCACUCAUCCAAACUGAUAGCAACACACCCAAGUACAGGUCAGUGAGAAUUAUCCUAAAGCCAACAAGGUACUAGCCCCAGAGACCAGACCACACUGAUGUCACAGCAUGGCGCUAAAAACACGUUAGUCACCAGUACUGAUUCUGCUAUGCCUUAUGCUACUAGGAUACUGGAGAAAGAUUGAGAACCAUUUUUCUAAAACAUGGGCUACAGAGAAGAGGCCCAGUAGGAGUUGUGAUUCUCUGUAUAGAUGAAAUAGCCAUUUGUUUACACUGCACUGGGUAUUCUGGGUGCUGGGAUAUAGCAGAGGAAGAUGAUGAUGAAAUCUUUGCUCCCAUGAACCUUGCUUUCUAGUUAGUACAGACAGAUAACAUACAGAUGUUUGUAAGUACUGUGAAGAAAAAUAAUAAAUAACCAGGGGAUCAGACAGGAAAUCCAGGAGGGGGGAGUUAUUUGAUGCAGGGUAUCACAAAGGGCCUCUCUGCUGAAGUGGCCUUCGGGAGAAAUCUGAAGGAAAUACGGAAUGACUCAUGAAGAGACCAGGUUGGGGACUUUUGAUGUAAGUGGAAAAGAGAAAACCAAGAAAAAGAAAAGUUAAGAAUUACUCUAAGGGUGGGCAUUUGGCCUGGCAGGUUAAGAAGCCAGUUGGGAUAUCCACAGCCCAUAUCAAAGUGCCUGGGUUUAAGUCCUAGUUCCACUUCUAAUCCCAGCUCCCUCCUAAAGCACAUAACUUGCUGGGAGGUAGCAAGUUAUGGCUGUGGUACUUGGAUCCCUACCACCAUGUGAAACACCUGGAUUGAGUUUCUAGCUCCCGGCUUGAGCUGGCCCAGGCCCAGACAUUACAGACACAGGGGAGUGAACCAGCAGAUGGGAGCUGUUUCAGUCUGUAUGUCUCUCUCAUGUGUAUGUAUGUCUGCCUUCAACAUAAAUUAACUUUUUAAUUAAAAGAAAAAAUUACUGUAACAGCUGUCCUCAGGAGUGGCAGACAGGCUGGGCUGCAGUCUGAGAAGACUGUUUGCCUAGUGACUAACUCUGUGGAGUUGGAGGAUAGUUUUACUCAGUCCUGCAGCCCCCAUCCUCAUGGAAUUCACUUGUAAAAUACUGUGAAAUCUUGGCACAGAUUUCUCUCUGUGGCAGAAGUAACUGGAUAAAGGAUACAGGGAAAGGGGCAAGAGCUCACCUUUCAAGAGUGAAAUAUUACUGUAGAUUGUUUGACCUGAGCAACUGGAAAAAUUGAGUUGCUUUUUACUGAGGAUUCUUUAGUAGGAUGGAAAAGAUUACAAAGCAGUAGUGUUUGGAGAGGAAAGGGAGACUUAAAAAUUCAGCUUUUGAAUCAUUAAAUGCAAUUUCUCUCUCUCUCUAUCUCUCUCUCUGUCUUUAGGACUCAAGUAAAUGAACAAAAACUUUUUUAAAGAAAAAAACAUUUAUUUUGGUCCCAGAAGCUCUUUAAAAUUCAUGUAUAGUUUGUUCAUAAUACAUAUUUCCCAUGAACUUUUUAAAAUUUUUAUGUAUUUAUUUGAAAGAGAGAAAGAUCUCCUAUCCACUGGUUCCCUCUCCAAAUGUCCGCAGUAGCCAGGACAAAGCCACAGGCUGGAAACUCACUCUGGGCUCCCAUGUUAGGGAGCAGGGACUUCAAUACUUGAGCCAUGACCUGCUCAGUCACCUCUCAGGAUUCACAUUAGCAGGAAGCUGGAAUACAGAGCUGGACUGGGAUGCAGGCAUCCCAGGCAGCAUCUCAACACCUGCACCAAAUGCCCAGCCCUACGUUUGAGUUGGAUUUUGCGUGUUUUGAAUGCUAGCUUGUUAUAAUCCUCUGGAGAAUUAAAACUUUUCAUUAACAGGCAGUCAGCUCCAGUUGAAAGUACAGCCUCCCCCAUACAGAUCAGUUUUCUCAGUUUUGACUCCUCUCUGCGGUCGGCUUGCCUCUGCUGGCAUUUCAGAGUUCUCAGUAGUUGCUGUACGUUUUGCUAAGAGUUUUUAAUUGUAAUUAUUUGGAGAGAGAGGCCAUAGUGUGCUUGUUACUUCAUGCUGCCUGGAAUCACAAGUCUGGUGCCUUGUGUUUUCUUAUUUCACAAUUUAAAUUCAGAUAUUGCUUAAUACUGUUAGUAUUUAGAUUUACCCACAUAUUCAUAAAACAAUGUUUUAAUGACCUUAUUCUUUUUGCAUCUUAGGCUUGCUUUCCUUUUAGGAUUUUUUCUUUUUCUCUCUCUUGCUACCCACCUGUUGGGGAGUAAGCUCUGUUUUUGUUUGUUUUUAUUUGCUUUGUCAUGAAGGACAGUGUGUCGACCAUUUGCAUCAGCUGUGGUCACACCAGGACUUGGAAGAUAAUCUUCCAUUGUGUUCUUCUAUUGUGCUCCACCUCCUUCUGCUGAGAAGGUCCUUGUCAGAUCAUAGGUGAUACAUGUUUCUUCUUUGGAAACAUUUAAAAUCUUUUUGAUUUUUGCUAUUCUAUUGUCCUCCUUAUAAUUCAUUUAUAUUCUUGAAUCUUAGAUGUGGAGUCUUCUAUAAAUAUUUUCAGCCUUUAUUUCAUGAAGUAAUUACUUUCUGUUUUUCUAUUAUAUCAUCCUAGAGCUUUGGUUAGAUAUUGGUGGACCAGUCUCAGUCUGUUCUAAAUAUCUCUUCACUUUUUUUUUUUUUUAAGAUUUAUUUUAUUUAUUUGAAAGAACGAAACAGAGAGAGCUAGCAAGCGAGAGCAGUAGAGCGAGAGACAGAUCUUCCAUCUGCUGGUUUACUCCCCAGAUGACCACAAUAGCCAGAGCUGAGCCGAUCCGAAGCCAGGAACCAGGAGCUUCUUCCAGGUCUCCCACAUGGGUCCAAGAACCCAAGGACUUGGGCCAUCUUCCACUGCUUUCCCAGGCCAUAGCAGAGAGCUGGAUCAGAAGUGGAGCAGCCAGGACUUGAACUGGCAUCCAUAAGGGAUGCUGGAACUGCAGGCUGGGGCUUUAACCUGAUGCGCAAUAGUGACGGCCCCAAGUUUCAGUUUUUUUUAAAUACUUAUUUGAAAGUCAAAGCACCCAAGGGGGUUCGGAAGAUGAAUCUUGUAUCUACUAAUUCACUUCUCAACUAGCCACAACAGCCAAGGCUAGACCAGGCCAGAGCCAGGAGCUAAGAACUGCAUCCUGGUCUCCUACGUGGGUGGCAUGGACCCAAGUACUUGGGUGAUCUUCCACUGCUUUCCCAGGUGCAUUGACAGGGAGCUGGAUCAGAAGUAUAGCAGCCAGAUUUAAACCAACAUUCUGAUGUGGGAUGCUGGUGUCACAGCAGUGGCUUCACAUGCUGCAUCACAGUGCCAGCCCCCCCCUUUUAUAUUUUCAGCCUUUGUUUUGUUUUUCUUUAUAGCAUUCGUAAUAGGAAGAGAUUAAUAGGCAGAUCAUAUUCAAGACAGAAAAUUAAAGCAUAAGCUAGUUUUAAGAUUAUGACCACCAGUUAGAGAAGAUUAAAGAUAUUGUUUGCUAAGUUGUAUGGUCUAGUUAACUAACUCUUUCAUUUGCGUAUUUUUACAUUUUGCUGUGAUAGGCAUAUGUUGCAGAUAAUUGUGUUCAGAAUUUUGUUACCAAACCUUAGUUGUGUCUCAGCUCCUUUAGGCAUCCAUGAGGUCCAAUUUGGUAGAUGGGAUGUAGAAGCAGGAUUGUCGGGGCAGAAGCAGUUUAACACACGAGCAUAGUGUUUAAGGUGCUUUAGCUGUAUAUUUAGACGUACUUUGAGUUAAAUCUCUGCUCUAAAAAUUUUGAAAUAUAUACAUAUAGUUUUUUCAUAGUGUGCAUUUUCUGUGAAUGAUUUGAAGACACCUCCUGUGCAUGGAUUUCAAGGAUUGUUUUUUUGCACCAAAAUAAACUUACCUUUUAAUCUAUUUUCCACAAACUUUUCAAAGUACUUUUGUACUUCUCGGCAGAUCCAUUCAGAUGUGGAGGAAUUAGUUUAUUGUUAGAUUUUAGAAGAUGAGUUUAGGUAAGAGUGCAGAAUUUUAAAGUCCUGCUUCCAUAAUUUAUUUGCUUUGUGUUCUGUAAUCAAAUAAUGUAAUAUCUUCCUUAGUUUCCCCAUCUGUUAAAUUGGAGUAAUAAUACUUACCUUGUAGGUAUAAUGAGAAUUAAAUAGCACUGGGGCUCCAUAAUUGCUGCUUCUGUUGUUUCUCUUGCUCUCAUUGGUGUUACCUUUUCCAUUCAGAAUCUGGAAUAUGUGGCAUCUGGAAGGAAGGUGGCUAGUGGGAAUCAGAUGGAAAUCAGUACCCAAGAUAGACAAGUUGGGUUGAAGACAGAAAAUUAAAGCAGACAUCCAGGUAUAUGAUCUGGAUCAGUGAGGGAAGCUCAGUAGACAGAAAGGUUUCUAAUCCCAGAUACGCUUUAUCUUGGACUUUAAGUACAGUUACAUUACCUAGGACACUAAAGAAAUCAGAAAGGCUAAAGGUUACCAGGCACAAGUUUCUAACCCCACAUGUGCUUUGUUCUGGGUUUACAUCUAAUAAUGUGACCUGAACCAAUAAGGAAAUUAGAAGGUCGAAGGUCAGUAGACACAAAGGUUUCUACCCCCAGGCAUGUUUUCUCCUUGACUUACAGCAACAAGGCUUCACUCCCUGCAAAUUUUUUAUGGAAAUGGCCCUUGAAAUGAAGUUAUUGCUACAGUUAGUUCUCAUAGGCUUAGGGACUUGUCAAAGCUGAGUCUGCUAUUCAAAAUUUCAAAGUAACUGCACUUCUAAGAACUAGAAUAAGCAGGGAUUUAGGGUCAUAAUUGUAGCUGAAAGUCGGAUUGGAUUAGAUUGAAAUGUGUAUAGUCAUAGUUCAAAAUAAUACAAUAGUUCAAAAUAACACAAACCAAGUAUCCUACUUCUAGGGAUUUAUUGUGAGGAAAUAAUAAAGGAUAUGAAUAAUGAUACAAUUAUUAAAAAGUUUUUGUCACAGUGGUGUUUAAAAUAGUAUAAGGACAGAAUUAGUCCAUGUCCAGCAAUAAAGAACUGAUGGAAUAAACUUCCACAUCUUUAUUUUCUUAAAAGAUUUAUUUAUUUGAAAGGCAGAGUUACAGAGAGGCAGAGAGGCGGGGUGAGGGGGUAGAUCUUCCAUCCGCUGAUUCACUCCCCAGAUGGCUGCAAUGGCCAGAGCUAUGCCAGUUGGAAGCCUGGAGCCAGCAGCUUCUUCUCGGUCUCCCACGUGGGUGCAGGGCCCCAAAGACUUGGGCCAUCUUCCACUGCUUUCUCAGGCCAGAGUAGAGAGUUGGAUCGGAAGUGGAGCAGCCAGGACUCCAGCCGGCGCCCAUGUGGGAUGCCAACACUGCAGACUGGGACUUUAACCCGCUGUGCCACAGCACCAACCCCAAAAUGAAAUUUUAAACACUCGGGAAAUUAUAUAGAGUUUUUUUUUUUUUUUUUGACAGAGUGGACAGUGAGAGAGAGAGAGAGAGAGAAGGUCUUCCUUUGCCGUUGGUUCACCCCCCAAUGGCUGCUGCGGCCAGCGUGCUGCGGCAGGUGCACCAUGCUGAUCCAAAGCCAGGAGCCAGGUGCUUCUCCUGGUCUCCCAUGGGGUGCAGGGCCCAAGCACUUGGGCCAUCCUCCACUGCACUCCCGGGCCACAGCAGAGAGCUGGCCUGGAAGAGGGGCAACUGGGACAGAAUCCAGUGCUCUGACCGGGACUAGAACACGGGGUACCGGCACCGCAGGCGGAGGAUUAGCCUAUUGAGCUGCAGCACUGGCCUAAA
Molecule: non-coding RNA, 6056 nt
Organism: Oryctolagus cuniculus (rabbit)
Lineage: Eukaryota; Metazoa; Chordata; Mammalia; Lagomorpha; Leporidae
Source: RefSeq, a predicted model, not a curated record